This 240-nucleotide long non-coding RNA is filed under the name Coffea arabica (coffee). Its description in RNAcentral is "long non-coding RNA (CARA_LNC006793)". Lineage: Eukaryota; Viridiplantae; Streptophyta; Magnoliopsida; Gentianales; Rubiaceae. The record is from RNAcentral.
UAGAUUAUUUGAUCCAAGGCCUCUCAAGUUGAAUUGUAGUUCAGUUCUGCUGGGUUAUGUAAGUCUUACAAUAUUUAGUGUAAAAUGGUAUAAAUUUGGUCUAAGCAUAAAUUUUGUCACUCGUACGACUGAGUUGGCGUAAAAAUCACGAUUAAAUCAAAACCAUAUGAGUUUACACUAGAAGUUAUAAGAAUUAAUCAACUGAACCUAACUACAUAGAACUCAACUUGAGGGCACCAC